Molecule: ribosomal RNA, 803 nt
Filed under: Triticum aestivum (bread wheat)
Lineage: Eukaryota; Viridiplantae; Streptophyta; Magnoliopsida; Poales; Poaceae
Description: partial small subunit ribosomal RNA
Source: RNAcentral
AACCAAUCGGUCUUUCUCUCUCUCUCUCUCUCUCUAUCCAUCCAUCUCUGCUUUUCCCUUUCAGCUGGAGGAGAUCUUGGGAGGAAAGAUAUAUAGUCCAGUGUCGUCUCUGUAGAGAGCAAAAGGGAAAGGAGCUCGCAGCAGGUACUUAAGCACUGACAUGAGUGAUCUCAUGGUCCAGAGAUACCCUCCUUCUUCUUCUUGUUCCUCCUUCCUCUCUCUUCCCGCCUCUCUCUAGGAUCUUCACCUCUCAUGCUCUUUUAGAGAGAGAGAGGGGAGAGAGAUUACUUAUAUGCAAGCUAUCGGCACGGCUAGCACGUGUGCAUGCAGGCAGAGCUGCAUCGAUUCUUGAGGUAAGCUCAUGAUGUGUGCCGGUUGCGUUGACAUCUGGUUUCUUUGUUAAAUCACUUGAUGAAGAUGGGUACCUUCUCUUUUUCCUUAUUUUUAUAGUUUGUUGAUACUGAUGCCUAUUCCACACACACAAACAUCUCUCUCAUCCUCUCUUCUUCCAGAGCUUUUGAGCUUAAGCUAGCUAGAGUAUUGGAGUUCUUCCAUGCAUACAUGCCAUGCAGCUUACCUCUCUUUCCUCCACCUCCCUCCCCCCUCUCUUUGUCUUUCCUCUAUCUAUAAUUCUGCAUGGCUCGUGGAUCCAAUUUUUUUUUUCCAUGGCAAAUCAUCCGAAAAUUUUAAAUCACUGCCCUGUUUUUUUUCAUCUUGUUAUAUAGAGUAUAUGUGUUCUUAAGUUCUUGGCACUUCUUUUUGACAGGUCAAAGCCACAACAAGCUCCACUGAAGAAGAGAGAG